This 415-nucleotide long non-coding RNA is filed under the name Carica papaya (papaya). Its description in RNAcentral is "long non-coding RNA (CPAP_LNC014546)". Lineage: Eukaryota; Viridiplantae; Streptophyta; Magnoliopsida; Brassicales; Caricaceae. The record is from RNAcentral.
GGCAGUUAAAGUUUUUUUGGAGAACGCUCCUGAUGCUAAAGAGGAGUGCAAGAUUUAUGGAGAAAGCAUAUUGCUGUACAAAAAUUUUCUUGACAGAGUAUUAUGCAUGAUUGAGAAAUCCUCGAGUCUAGGUAUACUUGCUAUGUCCAUUAAUCUAAUUUUUUUUUUUAUAGUUUAAGAUAGCACAAAAUACUUUGUCAUCCAGCUUAUUAUGCAUUUACAUUAUAGUGGCCUUUUCAAUAUCUGUUGCUAUUUACAUAUACUUUUGCAUGUUCUUUCUAUCUAAUUUGCUUACUUGUUUGGUAUUACCUUCAUCUUUUAAAUAGAGUCAAGCUAUUCCCAAAAGUCCUGUCAGACCUCUCUGACCAUAACACUCAACCUAGCCAAAAAGGUUGAGAACUGGAUUGCAUCGUUU